GUCCUAGCCGUAAACGGUGCACGUUUGCUGUAAAAGGAAUCGACCCCUUUUGUGGCGAAGCUAACGCGUUAAACGUGCCGCCUGGGAAGUACGGUCGCAAGAUUAAAACUCAAAGAAAUUGACGGGGGCCUGCACAAGCGGUGGAGUAUGUGGCUUAAUUCGAUGCAACGCGAAGAACCUUACCUGGCCUUGACAUGUAUCUAGUAGAAGGGUGAAAGCCUGACGAGAUAGCAAUAUCAGGAUACACAGGUGCUGCAUGGCUGUCGU
Molecule: ribosomal RNA, 267 nt
Filed under: uncultured bacterium
Lineage: Bacteria
Description: partial 16S ribosomal RNA
Rfam family: Bacterial small subunit ribosomal RNA
Source: RNAcentral